GAUGAACGCUGGAGGCGUGCCUAAUACAUGCAAGUCGAGCGAACAGACGAGGAGCUUGCUCCUCUGACGUUAGCGGCGGACGGGUGAGUAACACGUGGAUAACCUACCUAUAAGACUGGGAUAACUUCGGGAAACCGGAGCUAAUACCGGAUAAUAUAUUGAACCGCAUGGUUCAAUAGUGAAAGACGGUUUUGCUGUCACUUAUAGAUGGAUCCGCGCCGCAUUAGCUAGUUGGUAAGGUAACGGCUUACCAAGGCAACGAUGCGUAGCCGACCUGAGAGGGUGAUCGGCCACACUGGAACUGAGACACGGUCCAGACUCCUACGGGAGGCAGCAGUAGGGAAUCUUCCGCAAUGGGCGAAAGCUUGACGGAGCAACGCCGCGUGAGUGAUGAAGGUCUUCGGAUCGUAAAACUCUGUUAUUAGGGAAGAACAAAUGUGUAAGUAACUAUGCACGUCUUGACGGUACCUAAUCAGAAAGCCACGGCUAACUACGUG
This 497-nucleotide ribosomal RNA is filed under the name uncultured bacterium. RNAcentral's name for it is "partial 16S ribosomal RNA". It matches the Rfam family "Bacterial small subunit ribosomal RNA", at positions 28 to 507 of the family's 1533-position model. The record is from RNAcentral.